UAGGGAAUCUUCCGCAAUGGACGCAAGUCUGACGGAGCAACGCCGCGUGAGUGAAGAAGGAUUUCGGUUCGUAAAACUCUGUUGUUAGAGAAGAACAGCGCAUAGAGUAACUGCUAUGCGUGUGACGGUAUCUAACCAGAAAGCCACGGCUAACUACGUGCCAGCAGCCGCGGUAAUACGUAGGUGGCAAGCGUUGUCCGGAUUUAUUGGGCGUAAAGCGAGCGCAGGCGGUCAAUUAAGUCUGAUGUGAAAGCCCCCGGCUCAACCGGGGAGGGUCAUUGGAAACUGGUUGACUUGAGUGCAGAAGAGGAGAGUGGAAUUCCAUGUGUAGCGGUGAAAUGCGUAGAUAUAUGGAGGAACACCAGUGGCGAAGGCGACUCUCUGGUCUGUAACUGACGCGGAGGCUCGAAAGCGUGGGUAGCAAACAGG
RNAcentral lists this ribosomal RNA (429 nucleotides) under Bacteroidota bacterium. RNAcentral describes it as "Bacteroidetes bacterium partial 16S ribosomal RNA". It matches the Rfam family "Bacterial small subunit ribosomal RNA", at positions 355 to 776 of the family's 1533-position model. The record is from RNAcentral. Lineage: Bacteria; Pseudomonadati; Bacteroidota.